CUACACUGCCAUUUUCACAUGUCAUUCAUUUUUCACAGGGGAAUAUUCAGUUGAUGAUGCAUGGAAUUUUCAAGAAUUGCAAGAACAGAUUACAAAGGGAUAUCUCUAAGAGCUGCACAAUCUGUUCCCUCCUAAGUUUACUCCAGUUUCUUUAAGUUGCUGAGAGAACGAUUUCAAUAUCCAGUCAGUUAUUAGUGAGUUAAUUGAAUGCAGAUGGGGCACAGAAACAACAGAUACAAGGGUGAAGCUCUGAAACACCAA
Molecule: non-coding RNA, 261 nt
Organism: Phoenix dactylifera (date palm)
Lineage: Eukaryota; Viridiplantae; Streptophyta; Magnoliopsida; Arecales; Arecaceae
Source: RefSeq, a predicted model, not a curated record